Molecule: unclassified non-coding RNA, 408 nt
Filed under: soil metagenome
Description: partial contains 5.8S ribosomal RNA, internal transcribed spacer 2, and large subunit ribosomal RNA
Rfam family: 5.8S ribosomal RNA (bases 1-120)
Source: RNAcentral
GAUGAAGAACGUAGCGAAAUGCGAUAAGUAGUGUGAAUUGCAGAAUUCAGUGAAUCAUCGAAUCUUUGAACGCACCUUGCGCUCCUUGGCAUUCCGAGGAGCAUGCCUGUUUGAGUGUCAUUAAAUUCUCAAGACCUGUCUGCUUUUUUGAUAGGUAUUGGAUUUUGGGGGUUGCAGGCUGUUUCAAAUAAAUAGCCUUGCUCUCCUUGAAUGUAUUAGUGGAGAAAAGCCAUUGAACUCCAUUGGUGUGAUAAAACCUAUCAAUGCCAGGAGCAAUAUCACUACUUCUCUCUGCUGUCUAACUGUGACUGUCUGUAUUAAUUAGUAUGGAUGGGGACAACUUGACCAACUUGACCUCAAAUCAGGUAGGACUACCCGCUGAACUUAAGCAUAUCAAUAAGCGGAGGA